RNAcentral lists this ribosomal RNA (301 nucleotides) under uncultured bacterium. Its description in RNAcentral is "partial 16S ribosomal RNA". It matches the Rfam family "Bacterial small subunit ribosomal RNA", at positions 509 to 807 of the family's 1533-position model. The record is from RNAcentral.
CAGCAGCCGCGGUAAUACGGAGGGUGCAAGCGUUAAUCGGAAUUACUGGGCGUAAAGCGCACGCAGGCGGUCUGUCAAGUCAGAUGUGAAAUCCCCGGGCUUAACCUGGGAACUGCAUUUGAAACUGGCAGGCUAGAGUCUUGUAGAGGGGGGUAGAAUUCCAGGUGUAGCGGUGAAAUGCGUAGGGAUCUGGAGGAAUACCGGUGGCGAAGGCGGCCCCCUGGACAAAGACUGACGCUCAGGUGCGAAAGCGUGGGGAGCAAACAGGAUUAGAUACCCGUGUAGUCCCUGUCUCUUAUAC